GAAAGAAUGUGGACUUCUUCUUAAUGGGAAUUAUUAAACUUCAAGCCAUUCCACUUUAGAAUGUGUUGGAUAUUACCAUUCCCUAAGGAAUGAGAGUUGAAAAAACUGAGUAACUCUGCUAGACAUAUGUAAUACUUUGUGUCAUCACAGUAAGUAUGAAAGAUCUGGCACAUCAGUUGGAACUAAGAAAAAUUAGCAGUAUAUACAGAACAGUUUAGCCUGUUCUCAGAACAGUCUGAAGCAAGGCAGAACAGUAUUGCCUAAGGCAUGGCUUUCAAAACUGAAAGGCCAAUCCCAGGGGUUUUUGAGAUGAGAAUCCAGAGGAUGUGAGGCCUGCUACACUCCAAUUGAAAAAGGGAUAUUGACAACGUAUGAAGGGAUCUAAGCUUCUUUGAAAUGCUUGGUAUUGAAGCACAUUUCCUUUUGGCACCCUGACUGCCUGUGCUGGGCUGGAUGUUCAGAGGGGUGGCUCCCCUCCACACAUCAUGCAACUGAUGCUACGUGGAGUAAGUGGGUCUCACCAAUCACACAGUGGACUCAAAUAGGGAAUUCCAGUUGUCCAGGAAUCUUAGAAGUGAUUAUGGCCUGGCCCAAAGGCAAAAAUUUCGGAAUAUUGCCAGAAGAGGCUCUGCUAUAUAAUAAACUGCCAGAAAAUAUGCCUUGGUCACGGAUCAGUCCUGUCACAUUGUGAGAAGUCAUCGAAUGUGGAAAGCUACUGUGUGGAGUCCUACACAAUGAACUGCAGAAACUACUGAAGGAGAAGUGAAACCGAAGAAUGGAGGGCUUGUUAAUGCAGUCUGCAUCAACUCUAUGGCUAAUUGCUGCUAGAAUUUUUAUGACUGCUUUGUGGUAAAGAUGGUAUCACUGAGACUUAUUUUGGAUGAAUCAUUCAGAUGAGGAGGUUGUGACAUGUCUAGCUCUGGGCAACAGCUUCUUGGAAAGGGCUUUCUUCCAUCGUGUUGAACAGUUUUGACAAGCGCAGACUGAGACAGCAGGCAUCUUGCAAGUGAUACUCAAUAGAAAUCUCCCUGACAUGGAAGAAGCACGUCAGAACUGGGCAGAAUAUGGCAAAAUUUCACUUUUUCAGAUUAGCGAUUCCAGUGCCUUACUGGUGCAUUAGCCUCAGCCAGCAGAGUCCCUGGCACAGGGAUGUGAGCACGAGCUUGGAAAUGUGUACUUCAGGCAGAAGCACAGAGACAGCUUGUCACCCACUGCUGGCUCCUCGUCAUUCUUCUCUGGCAGGAAGCACCCCCUUAAUCAGUGAACUUUUUCCUCUGAAAGGAGCAAAGUGUAUUAAGACUUCUUGCUUCUAUAAGAACUGGCUCAAUUUCCCUUGGUUGCUGAAGCAGGAAUUCCAG
Molecule: long non-coding RNA, 1358 nt
Filed under: Gallus gallus (chicken)
Lineage: Eukaryota; Metazoa; Chordata; Aves; Galliformes; Phasianidae
Description: lncRNA (ENSGALG00010002568.1)
Source: RNAcentral